CGCCCGCGUGCUGCAGUCAGUCGGAACGCAACCAAGCAGCACCGCUUUCAGCGCGGGGAUUGUGGGAUGCGGGCCCCAGUGUGUCCGGGCCCACCUAUUCGGAGCUAAGCUUUAGCAGCCGAGUCUCAAGCUUUAAGGACUGAUCCCUAGUCCGGUGGCUUCCGUAGCUUCAGAGGCAAGGAUGCAGCAGGGCUGGCACUCGCACCCGACCAGAAGCCUGAUUAACCAGAAGGGAGGGGGGUUCCUUUUGUCCUAACGCCCUCCCGGGACCUGAUAAAGAGCGACACAAUAGCUCGAGGAAGACAACUGCCCGUAGAAUGUCCUUCUUGGGGCAUCUGAUGGUAGGAUUUUUUGACUCCACACAUCACAGCGCUCUCACCUCAGCGUCCAGCAGUGCCUGCAACCAGGAAAGAACACCCGCGUAAGAACCUGUUUACUGCGAGUGUGUAGUCUGCUCGCGUCCUGGGUAGUGAC
RNAcentral lists this long non-coding RNA (474 nucleotides) under Marmota monax (woodchuck). Lineage: Eukaryota; Metazoa; Chordata; Mammalia; Rodentia; Sciuridae. The record is from RNAcentral.